RNAcentral lists this ribosomal RNA (441 nucleotides) under uncultured bacterium. RNAcentral describes it as "partial 16S ribosomal RNA". It matches the Rfam family "Bacterial small subunit ribosomal RNA", at positions 338 to 795 of the family's 1533-position model. The record is from RNAcentral.
CCUACGGGAGGCAGCAGUGGGGAAUAUUGCACAAUGGGGGAAACCCUGAUGCAGCGACGCCGCGUGAGUGAAGAAGUAUUUCGGUAUGUAAAGCUCUAUCAGCAGGGAAGAAGAAAGACGGUACCGGACGAAGAAGCCCCGGCUAACUACGUGCCAGCAGCCGCGGUAAGACGUAGGGGGCAAGCGGUAUCCGGAUUGACGGGGGGUAAAGGGAGCGUAGACGGCUGUGCCAGUCGGAAGUGAAAGCCCAGGGCUCAACCCGGGGACUGCUUUGGAAACUGUGGAGCUAGAGUGCUGGAGAGGUAAGUCGACUUCCUCUUGUAGCGGUGACAUGCGUAGUUAUUAGGCGGAACACCAGUGGCGCAGGCGGCUUACUGGACCGUACCUGACGUUGAGGCUCGAACGCGUGGGGAGCAAACAGGAUUAGAUACCCGAGUAGUC